Helianthus annuus (common sunflower) is the source of this 3262-nucleotide RNA transcript. It is a transcript of the gene named pentatricopeptide repeat-containing protein At2g26790, mitochondrial, with no coding region annotated. The transcript is spliced from 3 exons. The record is from RefSeq and is a predicted model, not a curated record. Lineage: Eukaryota; Viridiplantae; Streptophyta; Magnoliopsida; Asterales; Asteraceae.
UUAGGGUUUAGUAACCUCCGCCGCCUAAACCCUCACCGUCGCACUCCACCACCGUCAUUCCUACCGAACCUGCCGCCUUUGAAACAGGAUUCCAAUAGCAGAGCAGAAGCAAACUUGAAAGAAGACAUAUGAUUGAUUGUUCCUCAAACCCCUAACCCUAAUUCAUGAUCACAAAACUCUCUCGAUUUCAUGUUAUCUUCUUCAAUCAGGUCAACUUCUUUUCUAUUACACUCCUUAACUCUCCGAUUUAGGUCUAUUUCAUCCUUCCCCCAAUUCAUACCCUCCGAUCACUCUCAUUCAGACUCAUCUUCAGACGAAACAAACACCAAUUCACUCACACAUUCAUCACAAAAACAACUUAACAGGUUUACAGUCACUGAAACAUUACAUAACCUAAGCACACAACCUAGGGUUGCACUCUCAUUCAUCAACCAAUUAAAUCAAUCCGGUUUCAAACAUGAUGUUGUCACCUAUAUGUCUGUUAUUAGACUAUUAUGCCAGUACGGUAUAGAUAUUAAGUUAUACCACAUGUUCAUGGAUGUUGUUCAGGAUACUAAUGAAGAACUUUUUACUUUUAACGUUUCCGAUUUGUUCGGAGCGUUGGUAGAUGAGAUGGUUGAGGAAACUAGGGUUAGGGGAUCGACGAGUUUGGUAAGAGCGGUGGAUGUGUUGGUUAAGGUUUACGCGAGCGUUGGACGGUUUGAUGAGGCGGUGGAUACGUUGUAUGAGGUUAAACGGGGUGGGCUUGUGUUAUCGACGCGUGCGUGUAAUUAUUUACUUAACCAGAUGAUUAGUUGGGAGAAGUUGGAUAUGUUUGAGUCGGUUUAUAAGCAGUUGAAGAGGAAAGGGUUUGUUCCGGAUGUGUAUACGUAUGGGAUUUUGAUUAAGGGGCUUUGUAGAAAGGGGUGUUUGAAUGAAGCGUCGGAUGUGUUUAAAGAAAUGAGUGAGGCGGGAAUGGAUGCUGAUUGUUUUACUUACGGUACGUAUAUUGACGGGCUUUGUUCGAACGGAAAGGCUGAUCUUGGAUUUCAGUUGAUAAAAAGUUUACGCGAGUCGAAUGAGGAGGUGAGUGUUUACGCUUAUACUUCUGUUAUUAGACGUUUUGUUAAAGAGUCGAAGCUAGACGAAGCGGAAAGUGUUUUACUUGAUAUGAAAAGUGCCGGUAUUGCGCCUGAUGUGGUUUGCUAUUGUGCGUUAAUUCAAGGGUAUUGUAAGAAUAGAGACAUCCGUAAGGUGUUAGCUCUUCACGAAGAAAUGGAAUCAAGUGGGAUAAAAACCGAUUGUGUGAUUGUGAGUGCGAUCUUGCAAUGCUUGUGUCAUAUGGGUAUGCUGGAUGAAGCGAUAAGCCGAUUCGUGCGUUAUUCAAAAUCAGGAGUUUUUCUCGAUGAAGUUACGUUUAAUAUCGCGAUUGAUGCUUUAUGUAAACUAGGGGAAAUGGAGAAAGCUGAGCUGUUUCUACAAGAAAUGAAAAAUAGGAAAAUGUUUCCAGAUGUUAUGCAUUAUACGACUUUGAUUAAUGGGUAUUGUCUAAAACAAGAAUCGUCAAUUGCGUUCGAACUUUUUCUGGAGAUGAUCAGGAAUGGAUUGAAACCGGAUGUUAUCACUUACGAUGUGCUUGCUGGCGGGUUGUCAAGAUGUGGGCAUUUUAACGAGACAAUCGGGAUUUUAGAUCACAUGCAGGCUUACGGUUUAGAACCCACGAGUGUUACACAUAGUUUGGUCAUUGAGGGAUUAUGUAAGGGCGGAAAAGUGAUAGAAGCCGAACUCUAUUUCAAUAGUUUAGAACCGAAAAACUUGGAUAUUUAUGCUGCAAUGAUGAACGGGUACUGUGAAGCGAACAAUACUACAAAAGCUUUUGAACUUUGGUUGUCGGAACGCACGCUUGUUACGAAACGGACUUCUUGCCUGAAACUUUUAAGUCGUCUUUGUGCAGAAGAUGAAACCGACAAAGCCUUAGAACUAUAUAAAGCACUUGAUGCAUCGGAUAAGGGUUCUUGUAAGAUAGUGUACAGUAAACUCAUAUCUAUGUAUUCCCGUGUUGCAGAUAUGGGGAUGGCUCGGCGGUUUUUCGAUAAAAUGAUUCAGAAAGGAUUAACACCGGAUGCUGUUACGUACACGAUGAUGUUAAACGGUUAUUGCAGGGUGAAUUACUUGAAGGAAGCUUAUUAUCUAUUCGAUGACAUGAAACAUAGGGGUAUACAACCUGAUAUUAUUACGUAUACGGUUUUGCUUCAUGGAGAGGGUAGACAGAAGAAUGUGUUGAGGAUUUCAAGUGAAAUUGAACAAACGGGUUUGACUCGUGAUGUUUAUUGUUACACGGUUAUGAUCGACAAACAUUGCAGAUGGGAAAACCUACAGGAUGCUGUUAACCUGUUCAAUGAAAUGAUCGACAGAGGUAUUCAACCGAAUACUGUGACGUACACUGCUCUUGUGUGUGGCUAUUGCUCUAUGGGAUAUAGGCAGCAUGCUGUAACACUUGUUAAAGAGAUGAUAUCUAAGGAGAUCGAACCGAACUCACGAACAAUGAUAGCACUAAAAACCAUUAAGGCCAAGAAGCUGAAAUUAAGGCGUUAAGUUCCACCCUAACAACCCUUUGGCUUGACUUCACGCUGCUCUUACAUAAUUUAUAUUUUAGUACCUGGUUUUCUUAUACUAGUUCUCACUCUUGGUUUCAAAAAGCACGAGGCGGUCCGGGGUGUUUAUGUACAACCAAAAGCUGCAUCUCUGUCAUCUCUUUUACAUGUCAGCCUUCUUCAUCAAGUAAACCAUUCAUAAUCUCUUCAACCUUAUGGUUGUUUUUACUUACCAGCCUUCUUACGGCCAUGAGGCUGUUUUUCAUAUAGCCUCUCGACUGAGGCGCACAAUUUAAGUUUUAAAACCGAGUUCUCAUUAUUGACCAAAAAUGAAACUUUGGCAUAGGAAAAAGGACCAUCAAUAUGACAUUGUUUUUGCUUGGAUAGGCUUGUAUCGUGACAAAGCGACUGAAAAUUUGUCGGGAAAGCAAUUAAUGAAAGGUGCAAGGGUCUGGUCUUUUGACUGCUGGAGGCGACUGGUGUACAGGAAGCGCACCCAAGUAGCAGGAGGAAGGGUUGAGGCGUAAGUAGAUUUUGUGCAUCAAGAAGCUGUACAUAGACUUUUAGGUUGUAUGUACAAGUUAUAUAUACAUUAAGUCAUAUAUGGUGCUUAUUUACUUGUAAAAAUUGGAUACGUGAUGAUAGAAACAAAUGAGAAGUGUAUAUAUAUAUAUUUUUUUAUAUAUAAA